This 75-nucleotide microRNA precursor is filed under the name Myotis davidii. RNAcentral describes it as "mir-9229 microRNA precursor family". It matches the Rfam family "mir-9229 microRNA precursor family". Lineage: Eukaryota; Metazoa; Chordata; Mammalia; Chiroptera; Vespertilionidae. The record is from Rfam by way of RNAcentral.
GAGAUACCCUUAUGGGCAGGACUUCCUUCAGUGGGGCUCUGGCGCUCACUAAGCCUGCACCCUGAGUGUGUCUCU